This is a long non-coding RNA of Xiphophorus hellerii (green swordtail), 811 nucleotides long. RefSeq lists it as uncharacterized. NCBI's taxonomy places the organism in Eukaryota, Metazoa, Chordata, Actinopteri, Cyprinodontiformes, Poeciliidae. The transcript has 3 exons. The record is from RefSeq and is a predicted model, not a curated record.
GGAUUUUUCUCCAGGAAAGCAGAGAGACUACAAGGGGCAGCAUCUGCGCAGAGGGCAGAAAUAAAAGCAGUGAUCGAAGCGUUAAAGCUUGCCCAAGGAUCACAGGUAAAUGUGUACACAGAUUGAGCUUAUGUUGCAGGAACAGUGCAUUUGGAACUUUGCCAAUGGAUGAGGUGGUAAGAUGCCAAAAGGGGGCGCCACUUGAAGAGAAAAACCUGUGGAAGCAACGAGGCGCCACUGAAACAAAUGGAUGCUGGAGGGGUCCAGACGGUAGGUUAAUUCUGCCACCUGAAAAAAAACAAGAGCUGCUUCAAGAAGCUCACGGGGUGGGACAUGUUGGGACUAAACAGAUGAUGCAUAAUCUUAAAGACUGGUGGCAUCCCCAAAUGAUCCACAUGGUGAAACAGUUUGUAAACAAUUGUGAAAUGUGUGGACAGUUUAACCCUAAGAAAACUUUGAAGCCACAGCAGGGACAGUUUCCUCCACUCACAUGUCCAGGGAAAGAGGUUGUGUUGGAUUUUACUGACAUGAUAAACACGGUGCAAGGCAAAAAAUAUUUGCUGGUUUGUGUUGAUGCUUUCACAGGAUGGCCUGAAGCGUGGCCAGCAGCGAGAGAAGAUAGCAAAACUGUCAUAAAAUGUCUAAUCAACCAUUACAUCCCCAGGCACGGUUUUCCAGAAAAAAUCUGAUCAGACAAUGGAACACAUUUCAGAAACAAGGACCUGCAAACAGUGGAAGCUCAUCUUGGUUUGAAACACAAGUUCGGUACGGUUUAUCACCCGGAAUCCCAAGGCAAAGCAGAACGAAUGAA